Molecule: ribosomal RNA, 402 nt
Filed under: uncultured bacterium
Lineage: Bacteria
Description: bacterial SSU rRNA
Rfam family: Bacterial small subunit ribosomal RNA
Source: RNAcentral
UGGGGAAUAUUGGACAAUGGGCGAAAGCCUGAUCCAGCCAUGCCGCGUGAGUGAUGAAGGCCCUAGGGUUGUAAAGCUCUUUCAACGGUGAAGAUAAUGACGGUAACCGUAGAAGAAGCCCCGGCUAACUUCGUGCCAGCAGCCGCGGUAAUACGAAGGGGGCUAGCGUUGUUCGGAAUUACUGGGCGUAAAGCGCACGUAGGCGGAUAUUUAAGUCAGGGGUGAAAUCCCGGGGCUCAACCCCGGAACUGCCUUUGAUACUGGGUAUCUUGAGUUCGAGAGAGGUGAGUGGAAUUCCGAGUGUAGAGGUGAAAUUCGUAGAUAUUCGGAGGAACACCAGUGGCGAAGGCGGCUCACUGGCUCGAUACUGACGCUGAGGUGCGAAAGCGUGGGGAGCAAACA